This is a small nucleolar RNA of Tachyglossus aculeatus (Australian echidna), 138 nucleotides long. The record is from RefSeq and is a predicted model, not a curated record. Lineage: Eukaryota; Metazoa; Chordata; Mammalia; Monotremata; Tachyglossidae.
CCCCUCUCAGGGUCGCACCUGGAGAGUUUCCCUUACUCUACCAGUCCCAACUAUGGGAGGGAAAGUAAAGCAGAGUCAUAUCCAUUCCAUUCCUAAUUUGGGCAGCGGCUAGCAAUUGGAAGGCAAUCUGCUACAGCU